CCAGCUUCAAUUGGGAGCUCUAAAAGGUUAAAUGGUACAAGUUAAUUGGGUGAACUGAAAACGCAUGUUAGCUUAACACACCUAAAACUAACAUAUCAACUUACUAUUUUGAGUCAUGACUAUAACUUCAAUGCUGAUGCAAGUAGUUUUUAUUUGAAAAGCAAACAACGGCUGCAAUAGCACAUUUCCUUUGGACAUUAUACAAAUAUGAAAGUCACUAAAUCAGCAGAACUCUUUUAUUCAGUCAUCACAGGUUUAUAUUCACUAAAUGUGGGCAAACCGGUAGCUUUACCUCCUGGUCUCUGUAUCUCUACCGAGACAUUAAUUCAUUACAUUAAUGAACAUUUAUCUGAAAAGUAACUGUCCAAAAUAUAAAAACGAAAUCAGCACAGAAGUAAAAGUGACUUACUUUCCACCGCUGAUGAAUUUAUUCAACUAUUAAUAUAAAAAGGAAAUACAUAAACAGCUGCGCUCCCAGCCAGGAGUUCUUCCUCCAACAUGCAUGUCAAUAACAGGGAGAACACAUGGGAAUUGUUGCACUUAAAAGCAUCACAUGACAAAGUGCCACAUAAUCUGAUCCCUUUUGGAUGGAAAAGUAACACUGAGGUGCUGACGGGAACAUUUUUCAGACCACAGUACUUUAAGUCCUAAAAAAUGCUUUCUACGUGACCACUGAACAAUGAUUCAACAUUUAUUGUGGCCCAAGUACCGUAUCUACUUUGUGUUCAUUGUGAUUUGCAUAACCUCAGUGGUUGUAUUUACUGUAAAUCAGUUAUUUGUGUGUUGUAAUCCCCCCGGGGACCUUUCCAAAGCAGAGACCCUCCGCUUGGCUUUAGGUGGUGCAACAGUUCAAAUGCAAACUAAUUAACUGCACCGCGCACUUCUCUCUUCUUAUUUUCUACCACAUGACACUCAUCACUAUCCAGCCUCCCUUACAAAUGGUCUCUCUCAGAUCCCCUCGUUGUAGAUUCACAGGAAUGCUCUUUGGCCCUGGUGGGGUUCUUGAAGUUGCCUGCGUGGACGGGUGGGGUUUAAGGCCUGGGUUAGUUGGGGUGAACAGAAGGGGGAGUUGGGGGUCAGUGUGCAGUGGUAGUGCUCUCUGUUCAUAAUAAGAUUAGAGGUUGACCUGCCCACCCCCCCC
This is a long non-coding RNA of Gasterosteus aculeatus aculeatus (three-spined stickleback), 1141 nucleotides long. The record is from Ensembl. Lineage: Eukaryota; Metazoa; Chordata; Actinopteri; Perciformes; Gasterosteidae.